This 253-nucleotide ribosomal RNA is filed under the name uncultured bacterium. RNAcentral's name for it is "partial 16S ribosomal RNA". It matches the Rfam family "Bacterial small subunit ribosomal RNA", at positions 524 to 776 of the family's 1533-position model. The record is from RNAcentral.
UACGUAGGGUGCGAGCGUUAAUCGGAAUUACUGGGCGUAAAGCGUGCGUAGGCGGCUCGUUAAGUUCGUUGUGAAAGCCCCGGGCUCAACCUGGGAACUGCAAUGGAAACUGGCGGGCUUGAGUGUGGCAGAGGGGGGUGGAAUUCCGCGUGUAGCAGUGAAAUGCGUAGAGAUGCGGAGGAACACCGAUGGCGAAGGCAGCCCCCUGGGCCAACACUGACGCUCAGGCACGAAAGCGUGGGGAGCAAACAGG